CAGGAAAGAAACAAUCACAAGGGUUCGGGCACAUCCAAAUCUCCUCAGCGGUUAAACCGAUCCCAAACCACUUCAGGGAAACCACCAGCAAGCACUGGUUUGGGGAACUUUAGAUGCUCGUUACGCCAAGCACUCUUAGAGCAAGCAAAUCCGCAACCGCCUUUCUCUGCAUAGAUGCUUAGGGUCUGGGAGGCGAGCGAGCUGGAGACAAAAUUAACCUGAUCGCUCGGUGAGGCUUGAAGGUGGCCCCCACGUGUCCCACGUACCGCUUCGACACCCUGAGAGCGAGGUAAUCAGAAAACUGCAGGUGUGGGGUCCAGAUUUGGGGCGCUCCCAUCGCCUCCCGCACUCGUCGUAAGCCGGGGGCAAUCCUCCGACAGGAGGACUUUUGAAGGAUUGCGGAGCUCACUUUCCUGCGGGUCCGGGACCUCGCAGUCCUCGAGUGGAGCGGGGAAAGCAAGGGGGGCGACCCAAGUAGAGUCGGAGCCGGAGUCCGCAGACCUUGCCUCCCCGCCCAAACUGGGUGCCUCCGGCCCGGGACAGCGGGGCCCCCGGGGCCCGAGAGCCCCACGCGCAGCGACCGCAGGGCCCGGCGCUGACGGGCGGAGGAAGCGAGUGCGGCGGGGCUGCUGCUGGGACCGUGCCCCCGAGAACCCUGGGGCGCGCAGCUGAGGGGGCGAAGAGGGGCGAGGGAGGCCCCAAGCCGGGGUGAGGUGGCUGCCCCCCCCCCCAGCCCGGCCCCACACGGCCCCCUGAGGAGGGUGGGAGUGGGAGGCUGGCUGUCCGGGAGGGGGAGUGUGGAAGCAGAAGAGAGCUAAGGAAAGGACUUACUUUCCCCGCGGGAUCCGACGCCGGAACAGCUUCUCCCGGGUGGCGAGAGCUUGAAGAACUAGAGGCGACUGGAGCGGAGGCGGCGGUGGCGGCGGCAGCAGCGGCGUCCGGCUCUGCCUCCCUCCCCGCCGCCAUCUUGACGCCCCUCCCCCCGGCCCCCCCGCCCCGCCAGAGGGGAGGGGGUGGGGCGACGGAUGAGGCGCCGCGCGCACGCAGCGCGCGCCGCGCGCCCCACGUGACUUCCUCCCUUCCCCCCCCCACCCGCUCCCCAGCGCCCCCCUCCGCCCCGCCUCCCUCCUAGGUGAAGGAAGAUGAUUUCCCCCCCCCAUCUUGACCGCCCCCUGCCUUCGCUGCCAAGCACGGACUCCGCCGGCCCCAGCCGACCCGGUACCAGUGGUUGGAUCCAAGAGAAUUCCGGAACCCAAACGGUCCUUUACCGCGUCUCCGGGGUGGGCGAGGGGUGAGGGGGCCGGGUUUCCGAGAAGGGGGAGGGGGGAAGGCGAAGGCCUCUUGGAAGAGUCACGUGUCUACUGCUUCCGCCGGCGCUCAAACACCUCGCGAGAAUUCCGUUCCCCCUCCCUUUCUGCCCCGCGGGCCGUCGGGAGGAAGGUCCGCACUCUGGUUUUGCCACGAGGAGGUCAGCCGGUGGGCCGGGCGCAUGCGUCCCACACCUGCUUUCAAAAGUCGGGCUAGGAGGGGCCCGAAGCUAUUUUCAAAACCUUUUGGUGUGUGGCUUCGGCCCAGGAAGUUACCUAGUGGCGUCUCUAUCAGUUUGGAAAGCUCUUCAUUACCCAGUCAAUCCGAGAAAAAAAUAUUCGCUUAUUCUUUGCUUGUUAGGCUCGCUCAAAGCACUUUAUUCAAUAUGAAACCGCAGUAUAACUCGGAGACCUUCGGCUGGUCCACUGUCAUUAUCAUACCCUAAGGAGUGUGAGCAGAGUCAGCCCCAUUUCUUUUUUC
RNAcentral lists this long non-coding RNA (1788 nucleotides) under Lynx pardinus (Iberian lynx). Lineage: Eukaryota; Metazoa; Chordata; Mammalia; Carnivora; Felidae. The record is from RNAcentral.